RNAcentral lists this ribosomal RNA (274 nucleotides) under uncultured bacterium. Its description in RNAcentral is "partial 16S ribosomal RNA". It matches the Rfam family "Bacterial small subunit ribosomal RNA", at positions 523 to 796 of the family's 1533-position model. The record is from RNAcentral.
AUACGGAGGGUGCAAGCGUUAAUCGGAAUUACUGGGCGUAAAGGGCGCGUAGGCGGCUCUGUAAGUCGGGUGUGAAAGCCCCGGGCUCAACCCGGGAACUGCAUUCGAUACUGCAUAACUAGAGACAGGUAGAGGCAAGCAGAAUUCCGGGUGUAGUGGUGAAAUGCGUAGAUAUCCGGAGGAAUAUCAGUGGCGAAGGCGACUUGCUGGACUAAUACUGACGCUGAGGAGCGAAAGCGUGGGGAGCAAACGGGAUUAGAAACCCCAGUAGUCC